AUGAGUCGCGGCGUGGAGCGACUCCUAAACGAGGUGAUGGAAGGCAUGGACCAAGACGAUCUGGUCACCAAAUCGGCACCUCCAGCUGGGUCUAGUUCGGCGGCGAAACUCACAUCACCAUCAGCGAGUGAUCCAGCUUCGAAUUCUUCAACUGCGGCAGGGAACGAUCUCAUUGCCAAAUCCACCUUCCUGGUGACAAAACCUACUUCUCUAGCAACAUCAACCGGGACCACUGAAGCAAACAAAAAAGGGUCACCAGGAGCUAUCAACAGCAAAAAUGAUGGGGUGACUGUGAAUAGGCCAAGAUCGUCUGCUUUUGAUGUCACAAACAAGUCAACUAAAUUAGAAGGCUUCUACUCCCCUGAAGCAAAGGAGCUCCAGGCAAUACUUAAGAGACACCAGAACAUCCUUGCCGGAGAAAGUACUCUACUAGAGAAGCUCAAAGUCCCUCUAGCUAACAACAUCUCGAUGCCAAGCCUUGUCCUCCCGCCCGGAACAGCAGCAAAGUAUCUCGAUAGGACUCAAAGAUGUAAAAAAGGCACUAAGGGAGCAGCCGAUCGAUGA
This 564-nucleotide ribosomal RNA is filed under the name Triticum aestivum (bread wheat). RNAcentral describes it as "partial small subunit ribosomal RNA". Lineage: Eukaryota; Viridiplantae; Streptophyta; Magnoliopsida; Poales; Poaceae. The record is from RNAcentral.